This 203-nucleotide unclassified non-coding RNA is filed under the name Basidiomycota sp. RNAcentral's name for it is "partial contains small subunit ribosomal RNA, internal transcribed spacer 1, and 5.8S ribosomal RNA". The stretch from base 1 to 47 matches the Rfam family "Eukaryotic small subunit ribosomal RNA", at positions 1785 to 1831 of the family's 1831-position model. The record is from RNAcentral. Lineage: Eukaryota; Fungi; Basidiomycota.
AAAGUCGUAACAAGGUUUCCGUAGGUGAACCUGCGGAAGGAUCAUUAAUGAAUUUAAAGAGUGCGCUUAAUUGCGGCUCGACAUUUUCUACCAUUCACCCUAGUGCACUGUAAUACCUUUUUUUAUUAGACUCUACAAAGUCAUUGAAUGUAACACUUUUUUAAAAAGAAAUAAAACUUUUAACAACGGAUCUCUUGGCUCUC